AGAGCUAAUACAUGCUAAAAAUCCCGACUUCGGAAGGGAUGUAUUUAUUAGAUAAAAAACCAAUGCCCUUCUGGGCUCCUUGGUGAUUCAUAAUAACUAAACGAAUCGCAUGGCCUUGCGCCGGCGAUGGUUCAUUCAAAUUUCUGCCCUAUCAACUUUCGAUGGUAGGAUAGUGGCCUACCAUGGUCUCAACGGGUAACGGGGAAUUAGGGUUCGAUUCCGGAGAGGGAGCCUGAGAAACGGCUACCACAUCCAAGGAAGGCAGCAGGCGCGCAAAUUACCCAAUCCCAAUUCGGGGAGGUAGUGACAAUAAAUACUGAUACAGGGCUCUUUUGGGUCUUGUAAUUGGAAUGAGUACAAUCUAAAUCCCUUAACGAGGAACAAUUGGAGGGCAAGUCUGGUGCCAGCAGCCGCGGUAAUUCCAGCUCCAAUAGCGUAUAUUAAAGUUGUUGCCGUUAAAAAGCUCGUAGUUGAACCUUGGGUCUGGCCGAUCUGUCCUCCUAAUCGAGCGCACGGAUGCGGUCGGACCUUUCCUUCUGGGGAGCCCGAUGUCCUUCACUGGGCGUCGUGGGGAACCAGGACUUUUACCUUGAAAAAAUUAGAGUGUUCAAAGCAGGCCUUUGCUCGAAUACAUUAGCAUGGAAUAAUAGAAUAGGACAGAGGUUCUAUUUUGUUGGUUUCUAGGACCGCUGUAAUGAUUAAUAGGGAUAGUCGGGGGCGUCCGUAUUCAAUUGUCAGAGGUGAAAUUCUUGGAUUUAUUGAAGACGAACUACUGCGAAAGCAUUCGCCAAGGAUGUUUUCAUUAAUCAGUGAACGAAAGUUAGGGGAUCGAAGACGAUCAGAUACCGUCGUAGUCUAACCAUAAACUAUGCCGACUAGGAUCGGANNNNNNNNNNNNNNNNNNNNNNNNNNNNNNNNNNNNNNNNNNNNNNNNNNGCUACCACGGUGAAACGCUUGGCGCACUGGGCGUGACGGAUGUGGCGAUUUUCCGCGAUGCGUAUGACCCGCUGAUCCUGCAAUCGCACCGUGUGCCGUCACCUGACGCACGUUUGGUCGGUCCGGGCGAAACCGCCGCCGACGUGGCGGAGCGCGCGCUGGCCGCGUUGCGCGAUUGCCUGAGCGCCAACGCUGGCACGAUCGCCGCCGUCAUCAUUGAGCCGCUGGUGCAGUGCGCCGCCGGCAUGGCCAUGCACGACGUGAGCUACCUGCGCGGCGUGCGUGCGCUGUGCGACGCGUUUGGCGUGCACUGGAUUGCGGACGAGAUUGCCGUCGGCUGCGGCCGCACCGGCACCUUCUUCGCGUGCGAGCAGGCUGGCGUGUGGCCCGAUCUGCUGUGCCUGUCCAAGGGCAUCAGUGGGGGGUAUCUGCCGCUGUCGAUCGUGCUGUCGCGCGAUGCCAUCUACAACGCGUUCAACGACGAUGCGCCGGUGCGCAGCCUCCC
RNAcentral lists this ribosomal RNA (1441 nucleotides) under Chaetothyriales sp. KhNk3-2. RNAcentral's name for it is "partial 18S ribosomal RNA". The stretch from base 1 to 885 matches the Rfam family "Eukaryotic small subunit ribosomal RNA", at positions 160 to 1116 of the family's 1831-position model. The record is from RNAcentral. Lineage: Eukaryota; Fungi; Ascomycota; Eurotiomycetes; Chaetothyriales.